AUUGAACGCUGGCGGCAUGCCUUACACAUGCAAGUCGAACGGCAGCACGGGAGCAAUCCUGGUGGCGAGUGGCGAACGGGUGAGUAAAGUAUCGGAACGUGCCCAGUCGUGGGGGAUAACGUAGCGAAAGUUACGCUAAUACCGCAUACGAUCUAUGGAUGAAAGCGGGGGAUCGCAAGACCUCGCGCGAUUGGAGCGGCCGAUAUCAGAUUAGGUAGUUGGUGGGGUAAAGGCUCACCAAGCCGACGAUCUGUAGCUGGUCUGAGAGGACGACCAGCCACGCUGGGACUGGGACACGGCCCAGACUCCUACGGGAGGCAGCAGUGGGGAAUUUUGGACAAUGGGCGCAAGCCUGAUCCAGCCAUGCCGCGUGCAGGAUGAAGGCCUUCGGGUUGUAAACUGCUUUUGUACGGAACGAAGAGGUUUGGCUUAAUACGUUGAACUCAUGACGGUACCGUAAGAAUAAGCACCGGCUAACUACGUGCCAGCAGCCGCCGUAA
Molecule: ribosomal RNA, 500 nt
Filed under: uncultured bacterium
Lineage: Bacteria
Description: partial 16S ribosomal RNA
Rfam family: Bacterial small subunit ribosomal RNA
Source: RNAcentral